This 250-nucleotide ribosomal RNA is filed under the name uncultured bacterium. RNAcentral's name for it is "partial 16S ribosomal RNA". It matches the Rfam family "Bacterial small subunit ribosomal RNA", at positions 524 to 773 of the family's 1533-position model. The record is from RNAcentral.
UACGGAGGGUGCGAGCGUUGUUCGGAAUUACUGGGCGUAAAGCGCGUGUAGGCGGCCUUGCAAGCCGGACGUGAAAGCCCUCGGCUUAACCGGGGAAGUGCGUCUGGAACUGCUUGGCUCGAGUACGGGAGAGGGAGGCGGAAUUCCCAGUGUAGAGGUGAAAUUCGUAGAUAUUGGGAGGAACACCGGUGGCGAAAGCGGCCUCCUGGACCGAUACUGACGCUGAGACGCGAAAGCGUGGGGAGCAAAC